RNAcentral lists this ribosomal RNA (495 nucleotides) under Amanita arenicola. RNAcentral describes it as "eukaryotic LSU rRNA". It matches the Rfam family "Eukaryotic large subunit ribosomal RNA", at positions 46 to 521 of the family's 3401-position model. Lineage: Eukaryota; Fungi; Basidiomycota; Agaricomycetes; Agaricales; Amanitaceae. The record is from RNAcentral.
AUAAGCGGAGGAAAGAACUAACAAGGAUUCCCUUAGUAACUGCGAGUGAAGYGGGAAAAGCUCAAAUUUGAAAUCUGGCAGUCUUUUUUUCUCUUCUUUGGCUGUCUGAGUUGUAAUCUAGAGAAGUGCUUACCUGUGCUGGACCAUGUAUAAGUCUCCUGGAAUGGAGCGUCACAGAGGGUGAGAAUCCCGUCUUUGACAUGGACUGCCAGUAUGUUGUGGUGUGCUCUCAAAGAGUCGAGUUGUUUGGGAAUGCAGCUCUAAAUGGGUGGUAAACUCCAUCUAAAGCUAAAUAUUGGCGAGAGACCGAUAGCGAACAAGUACCGUGAGGGAAAGAUGAAAAGGACUUUGGAAAGAGAGUUAAACAGUAUGUGAAAUUGUUGAAAGGGAAACGCUUGAAGUCAGUUAUGUUGGCUGGGGAUCAGCCUGGCUUUUUGCUGGGUGAACUUCCUAGUCUGACAGGCCAACAUCAGUUCUGACUGCUGGAAAAGAGCA